CACGCAGGCGGAUAUUUAAGUCAGGGGUGAAAUCCCAGAGCUCAACUCUGGAACUGCCUUUGAUACUGGGUAUCUUGAGUAUGGAAGAGGUAAGUGGAAUUCCGAGUGUAGAGGUGAAAUUCGUAGAUAUUCGGAGGAAGACCAGUGGCGAAGGCGGCUUACUGGUCCAUUACUGACGCUGAGGUGCGAAAGCGUGGGGAGCAAACA
This 207-nucleotide ribosomal RNA is filed under the name uncultured bacterium. RNAcentral's name for it is "partial 16S ribosomal RNA". It matches the Rfam family "Bacterial small subunit ribosomal RNA", at positions 568 to 774 of the family's 1533-position model. The record is from RNAcentral.